RNAcentral lists this ribosomal RNA (678 nucleotides) under Cutibacterium avidum. RNAcentral describes it as "bacterial LSU rRNA". It matches the Rfam family "Bacterial large subunit ribosomal RNA", at positions 1 to 634 of the family's 2925-position model. Lineage: Bacteria; Bacillati; Actinomycetota; Actinomycetes; Propionibacteriales; Propionibacteriaceae. The record is from RNAcentral.
GUGCAAGUUGUUAAGUGCGAUCGGUGGAUGCCUUGGCACCAAGAGCCGAUGAAGGACGUUGUAACCUGCGAUAAGCCCUGGGGAGUUGGUAAACGAGCUGUGAUCCGGGGGUGUCCGAAUGGGGAAACCUGGAAUGUCCGGAGUAGUGUCCGGUGACCCUGCCCUGAAUGUAUAGGGGUGUGGGAGGUAACGCGGGGAAGUGAAACAUCUUAGUACCCGUAGGAAGAGAAAACAACCGUGAUUCCGUGAGUAGUGGCGAGCGAAAGUGGAUGAGGCUAAACCGUGUGUGUGUUCAAGCCGGCAGGUGUUGCAUGUGCGGGGUUGUGGGGGCCUUUGGGUUCUGCUGCCGCAGGAUUGGCCAGUGAUAAAUGUUGCGUGAAGGUGAAGCGUCUGGGAAGGCGUACCGGAGUGGGUGAGAGUCCCGUAACUGUAAGCGUGGCACUGGUGAGGGUUGCCCCAAGUAGCGUGGGACUCGUGGAAUUUCGCGUGAAUCUGGCGGGACCACCCGUCAAGCCUAAAUACUCCUGGGUGACCGAUAGUGGAUUAGUACCGUGAGGGAAUGGUGAAAAGUACCCCGGGAGGGGAGUGAAAGAGUACCUGAAACCGGUCGCAUACAAGCCGUCAGAGCCUUGUGGGGUGAUGGCGUGCCUUUUGAAGAAUGAGCCUGCGAGUUAGUGA